RNAcentral lists this ribosomal RNA (77 nucleotides) under Ramalina yasudae. Its description in RNAcentral is "partial 18S ribosomal RNA". Lineage: Eukaryota; Fungi; Ascomycota; Lecanoromycetes; Lecanorales; Ramalinaceae. The record is from RNAcentral.
UGCGGUGGUUUUGAUAUGACCGGCCGUGGCUGUCACCAGCCACUGACGUUUGCGGAACCUGCGGAAGGAUCAUUAAA